This 1128-nucleotide long non-coding RNA is filed under the name Gouania willdenowi (blunt-snouted clingfish). Its description in RNAcentral is "lncRNA (ENSGWIG00000005001.1)". The record is from RNAcentral. Lineage: Eukaryota; Metazoa; Chordata; Actinopteri; Blenniiformes; Gobiesocidae.
AGUGUCCCAGACGUGCAGUGGCAGAAAAAGAACAGGAAGCUGAUGGCAGACAAAGGCCUCUACCAGAAGCACUCCCUGGACCAUCCUCUGCUAAAGGACUUUGCCACAUACCUGGAGAAGGAGCUCCUCAACGAGAACUUUAAACAGGAGGUGGACAAUGUAUCAAGGUACCUCUACUAUGCUGACCCACAGACACCAUCCCUGCGGUUUGUCAUGGAGAGAGAGAAGCUCAGGGCCUACAUGUGUGAGCUCAGUGAUGCAAAGCUGUCAAAACAAACACAGCUGAACUACUUGAAGAGCUUGAAAAGGUUAAUGGCAUUUUUUUUAGUUUUUCCACAUAAUAUCAACACUUUUGUAGACAAUGGUGGUAUUUUGCUUCAGUACAUGUAAAUACUUACAAUCCUUGCACUUCCUCCAACAGAUUCCUUUAUUUCCACACUGUGAACACCAGCCUCAGUAGUGAUGAUGCAGAGCUCCAUGCGCAGUGCAAGGGCUUUAUGGAGUUCAUUGGGUUGCGCCAGAAGGUUUGCUCAAAGCAAUUGAGCAAAGAGAUCACCCAGAGGAGGUACGUUGAACUAUUAUAUCAGUGAAUUGGAAUACAGAACAGAUAAGUGAGCAAUGUGUCUGAUAAUGUUAUGAUGAUUCAUUUUAUUAUUUUCCUCAUAGGCACUCCCUGUUGACUGCACCGGAUAGUCUGACACCAGCAGAAUGCUGGACAGUGCUGAGGGUGGCCAAGAAGGACUUCCUGGCCGUUAUCGGGAAGGUCUUCAAAGAUAAGAACGCCGUGCUGGUGAUGGCAGAGUGCAGCUUUGUGGUAAACUAUCUACAGGCAGUGGUGAUCCUAAGACACCUCCAGAGACCUGGUGUGGUUGAGCACAUGACUGUGAGUAUUAUUGUGCUCUUUUUUGUCUUAAUUGGUUCUAAUAUCUUUUGACAUUUUGUAACCAAACAAUAUGCUAUCCUUGAUUUGCAGGUAAAGGAGUGGGUUUUAAGAGUAUCGGACUCACGUGGCAACGCUGUCAUCGGCGUGAAGGCAGCUCAGCAGGUGGCCACAUUUGCCCUGUCUCAGGAAGAGGAGAUGGUAGGUUCAAGUUCAAAGUUCAAGUUUCCUAUGACAACCUAUUCAAA